UAGCUAGAGAACUGUUAGGGAGUAUGUACUUCGGCCAGAAAAAGAAAAGUGGUGCAUGGUUGUCGUCAGCUAGAGAAGUGAGAUGUUGGGUUAAGUCCCGCAACGAGCGCAACCCUUAUUACUAGUUGCCAGCAUUCAGUUGGGCACUCUAGUGAGACUGCCGGUGACAAACCGGAGGAAGGUGGGGACGACGUCAAAUCAUCAUGCCCCUUAUGACCUGGGCUACACACGUGCUACAAUGGAUGGUACAACGAGUCGCGAAACCGCGAGGUUUAGCUAAUCUCUUAAAACCAUUCUCAGUUCGGACUGUAGGCUGCAACUCGCCUACACGAAGUCGGAAUCGCUAGUAAUCGCGGAUCAGCAUGCCGCGGUGAAUACGUUCCCGGGUCUUGUACACACCGAGAU
Molecule: ribosomal RNA, 405 nt
Filed under: Pediococcus acidilactici
Lineage: Bacteria; Bacillati; Bacillota; Bacilli; Lactobacillales; Lactobacillaceae
Description: bacterial SSU rRNA
Rfam family: Bacterial small subunit ribosomal RNA
Source: RNAcentral